RNAcentral lists this ribosomal RNA (603 nucleotides) under uncultured bacterium. RNAcentral describes it as "bacterial SSU rRNA". The stretch from base 1 to 520 matches the Rfam family "Bacterial small subunit ribosomal RNA", at positions 338 to 873 of the family's 1533-position model. The record is from RNAcentral.
CCUACGGGAGGCAGCAGUGGGGAAUAUUGGGCAAUGGGCGAAAGCCUGACCCAGCGACGCCGCGUGAGGGACGAAGGCCUUCGGGUUGUAAACCUCUUUCAGCAGGGAAGAAGCGAAAGUGACGGUACCUGCAGAAGAAGCACCGGCUAACUACGUGCCAGCAGCCGCGGUAAUACGUAGGGUGCAAGCGUUGUCCGGAAUUAUUGGGCGUAAAGAGCUCGUAGGUGGUUUGCCACGUCGGAUGUGAAAACCUGAGGCUUAACCUCAGGCCUGCAUUCGAUACGGGCAGACUAGAGUGUGGUAGGGGAGACUGGAAUUCCUGGUGUAGCGGUGAAAUGCGCAGAUAUCAGGAGGAACACCGGUGGCGAAGGCGGGUCUCUGGGCCAUAACUGACACUGAGGAGCGAAAGCGUGGGGAGCAAACAGGAUUAGAUACCCUGGUAGUCCACGCCGUAAACGGUGGGCACUAGAUGUGGGGACCUUCCACGGUCUCUGCGUCGCNGCUACGCAUAGUGCCCGCCGUCGGGUAGGUACGGCCGCGAGACGUAAACCGUACGAAAGAAGUAAGACGGCGUUGAGACGCGACGACGCGACGAGGAGGAGG